CAGCAGCCACGGGAAUACGAAGGGUGCAAGCGUUAAUCGGAAUUACUGGGCGUAAAGCGCGCGUAGGUGGUUUGGUAAGAUGGAUGUGAAAUCCCCGGGCUCAACCUGGGAACUGCAUCCAUAACUGCCUGACUAGAGUACGGUAGAGGGUGGUGGAAUUUCCUGUGUAGCGGUGAAAUGCGUAGAUAUAGGAAGGAACACCAGUGGCGAAGGCGACCACCUGGACUGAUACUGACACUGAGGUGCGAAAGCGUGGGGAGCAAACAGGAUUAGAUACCCCCGUAGUCCCUGUCUCUUAUAA
Molecule: ribosomal RNA, 301 nt
Filed under: uncultured bacterium
Lineage: Bacteria
Description: partial 16S ribosomal RNA
Rfam family: Bacterial small subunit ribosomal RNA
Source: RNAcentral